Molecule: microRNA precursor, 114 nt
Filed under: Bigelowiella natans CCMP2755
Lineage: Eukaryota; Cercozoa; Chlorarachniophyceae
Description: miRNA EPrBNAG00000013655
Source: RNAcentral
GAGCUUUGUUUUCGGUGUGUGUGUGUGUGUGUGUGUGUGUGUGUAGUAUAAGUAGAGUCGCGUAGGAACAAACUACUCUACACACACACACACACACACACACACACACACANN